GCAGAAAAUUAUAAUUACAGGCCAGUAUCAAUUCACACAGUUAGAUGCAAAUAUAUUUGUAUCUAUGUCUACAUCUACAUAUAAAAGUUAUUACAUAUAUACUAGUGGAAUGCUAUUCUAUACCUCUCAGAUGGAGUAAAAAUGAAAUUUGGUAAAACUAACUUGUGACAAGUAUGUGGACCAGCAAGAAUGCUCAUUCCUUGUUGGAGGAAGUGCAAACUAGUUCCACAUUUUGGAAUUAGCUGGGAAAUGAACUGAUGAAGUUGAAUAUGUGUAAAUUGUAUAAUGCAGCAAUUUUAAACCAAGAUGUAUCCUCCAGGGAAAUUCCUGCACGGGUGUACAAGGAUGUUAGAGAAUAGCACAUCCUGAAAUAUCACUGGUGGUAGGCAGCAUUUAAAAGGGGCCCUAGAAGUCCCAACUUCCAGGUAUUCAUGCCCUUGGGAAAUCCUUUCCCCUCAGGUGUGGGCUGGACCUAGUGCUUCACUUCCCAUGUAGAAAAUGGCAAAGAUGGUGGACUGUCACUUUUGAGAUUAGGUAACAAAAAGAAUCUGUGAUUUCUAUUUCUGUCUGGGAGCCUGUACUUUGGGGGAAGGAAGCUGCCAUGUUGUGGCCAACUUUAUACAGAGGGCCAAGUGACAAAGAACUGGUCCAUCCAUCCUAAGUCAUUGAGGCCAGGAGCCUUGUCAAAGUCUUGAGACUCACUUCUACCCUGGAAAGCACUUGGGCCCCAGCCAGCACCUUGACCCCCUGACUAGGGGCCUGUGACAGAUCUGGACUCAGAGACCUCACCACCCCAACAUUCCUGAUCUGCAGAAACUGAGAUAACAGCAAGAAAAGGAGUUUUGUUUUGUUUGCUUUGGGUUCUUUUGGCUUUGAGUUGCUAAGUGUUAGCAGUAAUUUGUCACAUAGCUGUGCAGCCCCCCCCCAACUAGAGAUAACCUAAAUGCCUGUGAGCAUUAGAAUAGAAGAAUUAAAAUAUAAUUUUAAGUCAUAAACAAUGAAAAUGAAGGAUGCAACAAAAAGUCUCAAAAAUUUAAGAAUAUGUACAGGACAACAUUCAUUAGUAUGAACAUUAAAAAAAUAAACAAAAUUAACACAUAUUUUUGGACACAUGCAGAUGUGAUACAACUAUAAAGAAAAGCUAGGGUCUGAUCACAACAAGGGCCUUGACAGAUGUCCUGUUUCAGGGAAGGAGGAGGAAUGAGCCCCCUUAACCCAUUGCGGCAUCUAAGGUGUUACAACGACCUAUUCUUGACCUACAAGAUGGUCAAGCAUUCACUUCAUUAUCCUUUCAUCUGCUCUUCCACGUUGUAUAUUCUUUUCAUUUACAAAUUUUUAAAAAAGCAAAACCAAGCGAAAAAAGAAAACUAUUGCAAUGCAAUCAAUCGAUACAUAAAUAUUUUGGAGGAUGAAAAACGGCCAGAUGGCUGGUCAGUUAGACGCAGACAUUUGUUCUUUAUGUCUAGAUAAGAGCUGUACAUCUUCCAAGUCUCCAUGAGAGUCCAGUUGACAAAGAUCUUUUUUCUCCUGUGUUGUCCUUAAGGCCUUCUCCCUCCCCUGCAGGUUGGGGCAUUCAGAGGCCAGGGCCUGCUGUUUAUCAUCUGGAAACAGAUCUGGCACUGGCUGCUUCAGCCCUAAACCCUAAACCUUCCCGAGGAAGGUUCUCUAGAAGCCGGCGUGCGCCCACCGCCACCUCCCUGAAGUCUCCCAGAAGAAGCGAUCAGAGCCCCGUGGGCGCCUAGAGCACUUGCGACAUGAGGGCUUUUACCUAGGGUGGGGGUUAAGCAGACAGAGCUGUCCUAGAAGAAUUCAAUCCGGCCUCAAGCAGGACACCCCGCCCCCCGCACUGUGGCCUUUGUCACCGCAGGCCUCUUCUGGUGCAGACCUCAUCGCUGAUCGCCACUCACCCUGUGGUCCGCUGUUGCCUGCGGCGCGGGUUCGGGGCAGGCAGGACCAGCAAGGGGCGGGCAGUAGGUGUUUCCCAGUGGAAGGAGCUUUCCGCGGAGGAGGGACCGGACGGUGGACCGGAGGCUGGGCGACGUGGAAAGGAUCAGGCCACAGAAGAACAUUGAUGUCUUGAUAUUUGCUGGGCUGGAUAAUCACUGAUUCAUAGCAGAAGGCAGGCGGAGGUACUUCUAAUAAGCACAAACAAGGGUAAUGUUUUUUCAUUUAUUU
This 2175-nucleotide long non-coding RNA is filed under the name Heterocephalus glaber (naked mole-rat). RNAcentral's name for it is "lncRNA (ENSHGLG00100051767.1)". The record is from RNAcentral. Lineage: Eukaryota; Metazoa; Chordata; Mammalia; Rodentia; Bathyergidae.